RNAcentral lists this ribosomal RNA (836 nucleotides) under Aureobasidium pullulans. Its description in RNAcentral is "partial large subunit ribosomal RNA". It matches the Rfam family "Eukaryotic large subunit ribosomal RNA", at positions 76 to 930 of the family's 3401-position model. The record is from RNAcentral. Lineage: Eukaryota; Fungi; Ascomycota; Dothideomycetes; Dothideales; Saccotheciaceae.
UGCCCUAGUAACGGCGAGUGAAGCGGCAACAGCUCAAAUUUGAAAGCUAGCCUUCGGGUUCGCAUUGUAAUUUGUAGAGGAUGAUUUGGGGAAGCCGCCUGUCUAAGUUCCUUGGAACAGGACGUCAUAGAGGGUGAGAAUCCCGUAUGUGACAGGAAAUGGCACCCUAUGUAAAUCUCCUUCGACGAGUCGAGUUGUUUGGGAAUGCAGCUCUAAAUGGGAGGUAAAUUUCUUCUAAAGCUAAAUAUUGGCGAGAGACCGAUAGCGCACAAGUAGAGUGAUCGAAAGAUGAAAAGCACUUUGGAAAGAGAGUUAAAAAGCACGUGAAAUUGUUGAAAGGGAAGCGCUUGCAAUCAGACUUGUUUAAACUGUUCGGCCGGUCUUCUGACCGGUUUACUCAGUUUGGACAGGCCAGCAUCAGUUUCGGCGGCCGGAUAAAGGCUCUGGGAAUGUGGCCUCCACUUCGGUGGAGGUGUUAUAGCCCAGGGUGUAAUACGGCCAGCCGGGACUGAGGUCCGCGCUUCGGCUAGGAUGCUGGCGUAAUGGUUGUAAGCGACCCGUCUUGAAACACGGACCAAGGAGUCUAACAUCUAUGCGAGUGUUCGGGUGUCAAACCCCUGCGCGUAAUGAAAGUGAACGGAGGUGGGAACCCGCAAGGGUGCACCAUCGACCGAUCCUGAUGUCUUCGGAUGGAUUUGAGUAAGAGCAUAGCUGUUGGGACCCGAAAGAUGGUGAACUAUGCCUGAAUAGGGUGAAGCCAGAGGAAACUCUGGUGGAGGCUCGCAGCGGUUCUGACGUGCAAAUCGAUCGUCAAAUUUGGGUAUAGGGGCGAAAGA